UUUUUUUCGUAUGUCCGAUAACUUGCAUGCCAUUGGUGAAAAGAAAGAAAGAGAAAAGAAAAUGAAUAAAUAAAAAAAAUGGUCUGGAAUGGUGUCGCGUCAUAUGUGGCAGACUGUCCGGACGCGUUCGUGAGUCCUCAUGUCUCUUUUAUCUGGUCACUGACCAGGUGUGUCCGCGGACGUAUAAGGGGUCAUUUAAGGGGUCCGACUGUAGAUGUUGUAAGAGCAUUUUUUUAGAACGAAGGUUCAAGAAAAACCCGGCUUUGAAUUAAAA
This 274-nucleotide long non-coding RNA is filed under the name Hordeum vulgare. RNAcentral describes it as "long non-coding RNA (HVUL_LNC004694)". Lineage: Eukaryota; Viridiplantae; Streptophyta; Magnoliopsida; Poales; Poaceae. The record is from RNAcentral.